This is a non-coding RNA of Equus caballus (horse), 775 nucleotides long. NCBI's taxonomy places the organism in Eukaryota, Metazoa, Chordata, Mammalia, Perissodactyla, Equidae. The record is from RefSeq and is a predicted model, not a curated record.
UGGACUCCCUGGCUGGAAAAUGAGGGGCUUGCACAAGACAGGGCCUCGUGGUGGCCCCAGGGCUGCGCAUUCACAGGGCGCCGGGCACGGUGGCCCCACCAAUGCCUCAGACCUCCUCUAUGAGGCUGCUAACUCUCCGCCUGGCAGGUCUGAAAGCUGAGGCUCAGCCAGGAGUCACAGAGCUGGAAAGGGGGGCAGUCACGGCUCACUGUGGGCGUGGGGUAGGACAGAGAACCCUCCUCUGAUUCUGGAGGGCCACCUCUGCUCAGAGACAACACCCCGAGUGUGGUCAUCAAGAGGAGCUGACAGCUGGUGUGAGGUGUGGAAGCCAGGCCUGCUUGAGGUGCCGGUCGGCCGCAUUGUGCAAGCUUCCAGCAAAAGCUUCCUUUGCAGGUAAGAGUGGGCAUGUGACCCAGUUCUGACCAACGAGAUGAAAGCAGAGGAUCCUGGGGAAGGUUUCCCCUGUUGAGUUAAAAGGCAAAGAUUUCAAGGAAAAUAUGCGUUAUCCUGCUCAGAAUGUGGACUUGAUGGCAGGAGGUGGAGCAGCCAUCUUGUGACCACAAGGUGUUCCUGAGUGCCCCAUUAGGGACCAGUGCCCGAUGCUCGGCUGAGGCAAACCUUCCCCGGGUCUUACAGCACAAGAAACAGUGUGAAGUCUCCAAAUGCUGUUUUCUGGGGAGAGGAUGUUCCUUCAUUCUAAGAUUAUGUCCUUCGUAGCUUUUUGGUUUAAAAAUGUAAUUUAUUUCAUAAAAUGAAGUGAUAGUUGAUGAUGGGA